Molecule: long non-coding RNA, 230 nt
Organism: Salvelinus fontinalis (brook trout)
Lineage: Eukaryota; Metazoa; Chordata; Actinopteri; Salmoniformes; Salmonidae
Exons: 4
Source: RefSeq, a predicted model, not a curated record
CUGGCCUGUGAGAGGUCUAUAUAAUGUGUUGUGAAGGACUGGCCUGUGAGAGGUCUAUAUAAUGUGUUGUAAAGGACUGGUCUGUGAGAGGUCUAUAUAAUGUGUUGUGAAGGACUGGCCUGUGAGAGGUCUAUAUAAUGUGUUGUGAAGGACUGGCCUGUGAGAGGUCUAUAUAAUGUGUUGUAAAGGACUGGUCUGUGAGAGGUCUAUAUAAUGUGUUGUGAAGGACU